AACAGAAACAUUUAUGUUGUGUUAUUUCCCAGUUCUACAACGCUAUUACAUUUGUCAUUCUGUCUCCCUUUUUCCCCCCUUAUUCUUCUAUACAUGUAAACAGUCUGAGGAACAGUACAUUCAUGGUCAGUCCUUUUUAAAGGACUUAAUGAAUUUAUUACUUUUUGCAAAAGAUAUACCCAAUGCUUAUAUGGGCAUACAAAUGCUACCCUAUUUUAAAUGUAGGUGGCGUAUGUGUUCGUGUUUUAAUGUAUUCAGAGCCAUUGGGCAAUAAGCAGUCCAGAACAUUGAAAACUCAAGCAGCAGAGAAAUAAACUGGUAGGUGGCAGCAGAGAAAGAAAUUCUUCAGAUUGAUGACUGCUGACUUAAAAUCUGCAUAGGAGAAGCGAUACAGCAUGACAUUCCAAGUGAAGCAAGGGGGGCAAAGAAUGGAAACAGGACUAAGAUUCCUGGAUUUUGACUCCAAAUGGUUCUUUUGAAGUUACCAGUGAUCCUUUUUGCUCACCUCAUUAACAAGAAGACAGACUCUGUUUUUUCAAAUGGAGAAUAGAAAUACACAGAACAAGGAAAUAAUAGCUGUAACCUGUUUGAUUUAAUGUGUUUUCUAAAAUAAAAACACCAUGAAUUGGAAAUGAAA
This is a long non-coding RNA of Galeopterus variegatus (Sunda flying lemur), 637 nucleotides long. RefSeq lists it as uncharacterized. The record is from RefSeq and is a predicted model, not a curated record. NCBI's taxonomy places the organism in Eukaryota, Metazoa, Chordata, Mammalia, Dermoptera, Cynocephalidae. The transcript is spliced from 3 exons.